Molecule: long non-coding RNA, 3156 nt
Organism: Hylaeus anthracinus
Lineage: Eukaryota; Metazoa; Arthropoda; Insecta; Hymenoptera; Colletidae
Exons: 3
Source: RefSeq, a predicted model, not a curated record
CGGCAACUUAACUUGGAAGCACUGUACGUAUGACUUAUGGAGACGUCGCGUGAACUAUAUCGAUAACGUAUCGUUUAGGAAAAUAUCUGUCAAUUCCUCGAAUAAAUUAACCGAUUUCUGCGGUUAAUACGCAUAUUCUGAGUGGAGUUUGCCCUUUGCGGUGGCGAUAGAUAACACGAUCUUUCGGAGAAGAAAGUCAACUUCGGUAGAAGGAUGAUAAUUAAUAAUUGUUGACAGCGUGGUUUCAAUUACGACGCUCUCGAAUGGUUUUGGUCGUCACUUUUGGGAUUUCUUGGGAAAUCCGAUGUGAAGAAGAGUAGUGCUAGGUAGAUGGAGCUGUUUUAUUUAGUGUUAAUGAAUUUGGAAAUAAUGUUUACAUUCUGCCGCGUCAAACUUCGCGCGUAACAUUGCACAAUAACCAAAAAUCAAGAAACGGGCUUGUAAUUCUUUUCGAUUUACAUAAUUUGUAACCGUUUCCAAGGAAAUAUGACGCGUUCCUUGUAACAAAGAGCGAUAAAAAAUAUCAUUCAUGGAAGGGAACACGUAAAAUAAUUGCGGAACGUUGUCGAUGAUCGUUAAUAUCUCUUGAGAAGAAAAUACGAAUUACCGUGUACGAUUACAAGUUUAUUAUGCGGAGCUACGUAAGUAUAAUAACACUUCGUAGCAUCUUUUCCUUAAUCAUUGACAAUUGCGUUGUUCCGUCCGUGUGAAUCCGUUGCACUUCAUUUUGUUGCCCAAGGCUGAAGCGAGUAUCGUUGCCUUCCCCGGCGAUGGAAGUGGAUAGCAAUAAUUACCAAACCACUCGAUACCGUUUGCCACGAUCCAUGACAGAAAAUCGAAAGUUUACGAGGAACGAUUCUAAUUAUUAAAUAAACCAAACCGAAACGAUACUAAGCUGUUUCUUGUCCACGAUGAAUUAUCGGUUUACCAACAUCGGUGACAGUAUUCUUGUUUACACGACGAUGCAGAAAUAGCCGUAACGAGAGACGCCAGGAGAAUUGUUUCACGUACCUAAGUCUCGUCUUUAUGACUCAAUUCGAUCUAGGCUGAUAAUUCAUGGGCGAUCUUAAGCAAAAAGAAUUUUAAUCUAUCACGACCUUGGCCUAUCGAGGCAAAUCCUAUCUAUGACUAGCGAGGAAUUUGAUAAUCUACCAGUUGACAACACGUAAAAAAUUUAUUCAAAUUCAACGUGAUCAAACAAAAGUUUCCUAACAUAAAUAUAUCUUUAUUUUUAAAGAUUAGAUUUAGGACAAAAUUAAAGACAAUCUUCUAAAUACGAGUUGUUAUCAUUAUGAAUAUUUAAAAUGUUUCCCGAAACAUCGUUCAUCUUCUUUUGUUUGAGGAUAAUUGAACGAAUCACGCUUCAUUGAUUUACAUCGAUUGCAAAAAUUAUGGAAUAUAAUUUGUUUUUCUGAUGGUAAUGACGUUUGUAUUUUUCCACACAUCCUAUAAAUUAACUACUAUGAGUGUACACUAUGAAAGAAUACAUGUAACGACGUAUUGAUCACAAGAUUCCUUAAAAAUAUAGGACGUUUAUUUAAAUUAAAAAGUGAUCACAUGUUUCGUGAUUGUUUAAUUGUGAUCCUAAUUAUAGUUAUAUCAAAUAUCUUAGACAUCCUAGGUAUUCUAAUUAUGAUUAUGUAAUAUCGAAUAAAUCCUUAAAAAUCUUGUGUUUGAUUAAAAUUCGACCGCAAAGAACCAAUGUAGAAUGUAAAAUGAAUAGAAUAAUUUCUGAUCAUUUUAAUGGUGGGAUCUUGCUCUGACUAGUUGUUAAUUUCCAAGUUAUCCAGCAAAAUAAUACCUGCGCGAGAUAAUUGAGGAGAUCUCGAACUUUGGGGUUUCCCGUAUCUGCAAUUUGAUCAGAUUAUUUACGUGUCUGAAUGCAGCUAGUCCACGCUUACACGGAUUACUCAGAAUUUCCAACUUCUCAUUUCCGGUAGGUGAAAUAUACCCUACAAGCCAAUGACCAACAUGAUUCAUUUCCAUUGUUUCUUUCGGGAUAAUUAAUCCAGCCAAAAUCUAUUCUCAAGAUACAUUCAUUCUUAAAAAAGAAAAUCCGAUGUUGCAAGUCUUCGCAUCAUAUCAAUAUUUUAUUCUGAAGUUGAGAUCUAUGUACAAAACCCGUUUUCUAGCUACACGUUUGUUAUAAAUUAAAUGACGGAAAUCCCUAUCGAAGAGUUCAUUAAACAUUUUUUUUUUCUGCAUCGUUCAAUUUCAGCUCAACGGUUCCCGUUGCUGAUAGGUGUUAAUUGGCCCCAGGUAUACUUUUUUGCGAGUUUCGCUGACAAAGAAUAAUCCGUGUGUCACUGUCACGUCCUUGAAUCCGACUGGUGAACGUAUACCUCCCGAUUCUCAGGUUUCCGUGUUAUACGAGCAUCGCAAUCUCACGCGAACGGUUUCCCUACCAAUCGACUGGGAUUUUUAAAAGUCUUAGAACAUAGACGGCCAUAAGUAAAUAAAUUAAUUAAUGUGACCAUUUGGAGUCCAUCGAUAACAUACACGUGGUUGUGGAUGGUAGGGUAAUAAUUUAAUGACUUUUGCAAAGGUUUUUCACAGAACAAUUAGUCAUGGUAAAUGAAAAAAAAAAAAACUUUAAAUUACUUUAGUUUCUUGUAAAUCUAAUAUUGGAGAAAACAAAAGUGGCUCUUUUUCAGCGAUAAGUUUAUCUUUGAGACUACGUUGCAUACUUGCAAACAAUAAUUAUACUUGUGAGAAUGUGCCUAGCGUAGCGGAAAUAAUGAGAAACACAAUCGUUUUACACGCCAUACAUCAGGAUGGUAUGCAAGUUCUCAGGAGCUGUAGCGGUGUUUUUUGAAGCUACGGUACGGACUUAGCAACCCCGAGGUACCCGAGCUAGAGGGUACCCAAUAGAUGAGAAGUAAGAGAUACUGCAAACAGUAUUAAAACAAUGCAGGAGUCAUGUAUGACGCAUGUCGAAUGAAGAAAUAUGGAAAUGUAAACAAAUAGAGAAAGUGGUAGUGAAGUAGCUUUGUCAAUUGUAAAAAGCUGAUCACUUCAAUAAACGACUGAACCGAACUGAUGGUAUUCAAGUUCCAAUGGAAAAUGAACCACGAUGGAAUAGCAGGUACCAUACGUAGAUAAAGUCAUCGGUCGUCGAUAAAGCAGGAUUGUACUGUCCGGUUCAUAUAAAAGCUC